Molecule: ribosomal RNA, 253 nt
Filed under: uncultured bacterium
Lineage: Bacteria
Description: partial 16S ribosomal RNA
Rfam family: Bacterial small subunit ribosomal RNA
Source: RNAcentral
UACGGAGGGUGCAAGCGUUAUCCGGAUUUACUGGGUUUAAAGGGUGUGUAGGCGGGCUUUUAAGUCAGUGGUGAAAUCUCCGGGCUCAACCCGGAAACUGCCAUUGAUACUAUUAGUCUUGAAUUUUGUUGAGGUAGGCGGAAUAAGUCAUGUAGCGGUGAAAUGCAUAGAUAUGACUUAGAACACCAAUUGCGAAGGCAGCUUGCUAAACAAACAUUGACGCUGAGGCACGAAAGCGUGGGGAGCAAACAGG